CUAGACGCACACGUGGGAAAUGACUAAGGUGUUUGCCUAGGAAUGGAAGAAGCACCUUCUGAACUCAGCCUCUGGGAUGUCAGCCUGAUAUCAGAGAACUUGAUGAGGAGCUGCAGUCCGUAGGAACGUAAGGAGAACCCUGCUGCAUCAGGCCAAAAGCUCAUCUUGACCAGCACCCUCUUUUCACAGUGGCAAACCAGAUUUCCAUGGGACGCCUCCAGCCAGGACCUGAAAGCAGCAACUCCCUCUCCCCACUUGCGAUUGGUACCAGAGGUAUAAAAUAAAUAGCGUUAAGGCCAAACAGGAUGCACGGGGGUGGGACUUGAAAAAUACUACAUAUUAAACAUUCAUUAAGAAAUAAUAAUAAUAAUAAUAAUAAUAAUAAUAAUAAUAAUAAUAAUAUGCUCCUUUAAAGUCAAAAAGGAAACCCAGUUGUGGGGUGUUUGUGU
RNAcentral lists this long non-coding RNA (449 nucleotides) under Podarcis muralis (Common wall lizard). Its description in RNAcentral is "lncRNA (ENSPMRG00000013265.1)". Lineage: Eukaryota; Metazoa; Chordata; Lepidosauria; Squamata; Lacertidae. The record is from RNAcentral.